Musca vetustissima is the source of this 429-nucleotide long non-coding RNA. RefSeq lists it as uncharacterized. NCBI's taxonomy places the organism in Eukaryota, Metazoa, Arthropoda, Insecta, Diptera, Muscidae. The record is from RefSeq and is a predicted model, not a curated record. The transcript has 2 exons.
GAUUUAUAUAGCUCACAUAUACAGGGUGAGAUGAAAAAACUGCCACCAACUUCAGACUGCUGUCAUUUCUAAGCCACUCGUCCGACAGCUGUUAAAAUUAUUCCAGUGAUAGCUUAUUAUAUUGUUUAAAAACAUACAAAAGCAUUUUGGUGAGAAUUUUCCAGAAAAAAGUUGUUCGUGAUGGAAUUCAAGCGUGAUAGUCUGAUUUCUUUCUAUUUGUAUUUAGGAAAGCAAGGUUUGCACUAAAAAAUACCAAAGAGUCGAUCAACUCAAGCAAGCGCUUCGCCAGGAAUGGGCCAAAAGAUCACAGAGCAACGUGUGACGGUUUCAUUGGCCGUUUGAAUGUCAUAAUUCGCGCCAAAUGUGACCAAUUCGAACAAAUCUAAAUUUAUUCUAAAAUUUGAUGCUAUUUCUGACAUAUUUUGCAUU